Molecule: ribosomal RNA, 415 nt
Filed under: uncultured Lactobacillus sp.
Lineage: Bacteria; Bacillati; Bacillota; Bacilli; Lactobacillales; Lactobacillaceae
Description: bacterial SSU rRNA
Rfam family: Bacterial small subunit ribosomal RNA
Source: RNAcentral
UCUGCCUUGAAGAUCGGAGUGCUUGCACUCUGUGAAACAAGAUACAGGCUAGCGGCGGACGGGUGAGUAACACGUGGGUAACCUGCCCAAGAGAUCGGGAUAACACCUGGAAACAGAUGCUAAUACCGGAUAACAACAGAUGAUGCCUAUCAACUGUUUAAAAGAUGGUUCUGCUAUCACUCUUGGAUGGACCUGCGGUGCAUUAGCUAGUUGGUAGGGUAACGGCCUACCAAGGCGAUGAUGCAUAGCCGAGUUGAGAGACUGAUCGGCCACAUUGGGACUGAGACACGGCCCAAACUCCUACGGGAGGCAGCAGUAGGGAAUCUUCCACAAUGGACGCAAGUCUGAUGGAGCAACGCCGCGUGAGUGAAGAAGGGUUUCGGCUCGUAAAGCUCUGUUGUUGGUGAAGAAGGAC